UACGGAGGGUGCAAGCGUUGUUCGGAAUUAUUGGGCGUAAAGCGCGCGUAGGCGGCUUGGCAAGUCGGGUGUGAAAUCCCGGGGCUCAACCCCGGAACUGCAUUCGAAACUGUCUAGCUAGAGUCCCGGAGAGGAUGGCGGAAUUCCCGGUGUAGAGGUGAAAUUCGUAGAUAUCGGGAGGAACACCAGUGGCGAAGGCGGCCAUCUGGACGGUGACUGACGCUGAGGUGCGAAAGCGUGGGGAGCAAACAGGAUUAGAAACCCCAGUAGUCC
RNAcentral lists this ribosomal RNA (273 nucleotides) under uncultured bacterium. Its description in RNAcentral is "partial 16S ribosomal RNA". It matches the Rfam family "Bacterial small subunit ribosomal RNA", at positions 524 to 796 of the family's 1533-position model. The record is from RNAcentral.